CCUGGGACUCACUUUGUUGACCAGGUUGGCCUCAAAAUCAUAGAGAUCAGCCUGUCUCUGUCUCCAGAAUACUAGGAU
RNAcentral lists this microRNA precursor (78 nucleotides) under Microtus ochrogaster (prairie vole). RNAcentral describes it as "miRNA (ENSMOCG00000004887.1)". Lineage: Eukaryota; Metazoa; Chordata; Mammalia; Rodentia; Cricetidae. The record is from RNAcentral.